Molecule: ribosomal RNA, 2613 nt
Filed under: freshwater metagenome
Description: bacterial LSU rRNA
Rfam family: Bacterial large subunit ribosomal RNA
Source: RNAcentral
ACAUCUAAGUAAGGGCGCAUGGAGGAUGCCUUGGCUCUUGGAGGCGAAGAAGGACGUGAUAAGCUGCGAUAAGCUAGGGGGAGUGGCAAAUACACGAUAUAUCCCUAGAUUUCCGAAUGGGACAACCCAAUAUGUUGAAGACAUAUUAUCCAUCGAUAAGAUGAGAAGCAAACCCACUGAACUGAAACAUCUAAGUAAGUGGAGGAGGAGAAAAUAACAAUGAUUCCGUAAGUAGUGGCGAGCGAACGCGGAACAGCCCAAACCAGUCUUGUUACGGCAACACUGGGGUUGUAGGACUACAAUAUGGACUUAUAAAUUAUAGUGGAAUAGGUUUGGAAAGGCCGACCAUAGGGGGUGAUAGUCCCGUACACGACAUGAUUUAUAUACCUAGUAGUAUCCUGAGUACUGCGGGGUCGGAGACGCCCUGUAGGAAUUUGCCGGCACCAUCCGGUAAGGCUAAAUACUCCCAAGAGACCGAUAGUGAACUAGUACUGUGAAGGAAAGGUGAAAAGAACCGCGAAUAGCGGAGUGAAAUAGAACCUGAAACCAUGCGCUUACAAGCGGUCGGAGCCCUUAAGUGGGGUGACGGCGUGCCUUUUGUAUAAUGAGCCUACGAGUUACACUUCAUUGGCAAGGUUAAGGGCUUAAGGUCCGUUAACCGCAGCGAAAGCGAGUCUGAAUAGGGCGUAAAGUCAGUGGAGGUAGACGCGAAACCUUGUGAUCUACCCAUGGCCAGGAUGAAGCUCCGAUAACACGGAGUGGAGGUCCGAACCGAUAAGCGUUGAAAAGCUUCCGGAUGAGCUGUGGGUAGGGGUGAAAGGCUAAUCAAACUGGGAAAUAGCUCGUACUCCCCGAAAUGCCUUUAGGGGCAGCGUGGUGGUAAAGUUUUAUAGAGGUAGAGCUACUGAUUGGAUGCGGGGGAAGCGAUUCCUACCAAGUCCUGACAAACUCCGAAUGCUAUAAAAUAUACACUGCAGUGAGCCAUUGGGUGCUAAGGUCCAAUGACGAAAGAGAGAGAACUCAGACCAACAGCUAAGGUCCCCAAAUCUAUUCUAAGUUGAUAUAACGUGGUGCGACUGCAUUGACAGCCAGGAUGUUUGCUUGGAAGCAGCCAUUCAUUUAAAGAGUGCGUAACAGCUCACUGGUCGAGCGGUCGUGCGUGGACGAUACUCGGGCAUCAAGAAUAGUACCGAAGCUUUGGACUCAUAUUUAUAUGAGUGGUAGGGGAGCAUUCUAACUGCGUAGAAGAAGUUGCGUGAGCGCUAUUGGAGCGGUUAGAAAAGCAAAUGUAGGCAUAAGUAACGAUAAAACAGGCGAGAAACCUGUUCGCCGAUAGACUAAGGUUUCCUGAACAACGAUAAUCGGUUCAGGGUCAGUCGGGACCUAAGGCGAAGCCGAAGGGCGUAGUCGAUGGACAACUGGUUAAUAUUCCAGUACUUGUAUUACUGCGAUGGAGAGACGAAGGCGCGUAAGGUUAGCGAACUGACGGAAUAGUUCGUUUAAGUGCGUAGGUUUAGGGUAUGUAGGCAAAUCCGCAUAUCUUCUGAAACACGAAAGUAGCCAGAGUCGUCAGACAAAGGCAUUAACCCCAAGCAUACUUCCAAGAAAAUCUUCUAAGCUUCAGGUAAAUACAACCCGUACCGCAAACCGACACAGGUAGUCAAGUAGAAUAUACUAAGGCGCUCGAGUGAUCCGCGGCUAAGGAACUAGGCAAAUUAACCCUGUAACUUCGGGAAAAAGGGUGCCACCAGCAAUGGUGGCCGCAGAGAAAUGGCGGUGGCGACUGUUUAACAAAAACACAGGGCUUUGCAAAACUGAAAGGUGAAGUAUAAGGCCUGACACCUGCCCGGUGCCGGAAGGUUAAGAGGAGAGGUUAGCGCAAGCGAAGCUUUGAAUUGAAGCCCCGGUAAACGGCGGCCGUAACUAUAACGGUCCUAAGGUAGCGAAAUUCCUUGUCGGGUAAGUUCCGACCUGCACGAAUGGUGUAACGAUCUCCGCACUGUCUCAGCCGCGAGCUCGGUGAAAUUGUGGUAUCAGUGAAGACGCUGAUUACCCGCAACGGGACGGAAAGACCCCAUGCACCUUUACUAUAGUUUAACAUUGAUUUCGGGUAAGUGAUGUGUAGGAUAGGUGGGAGACUGUGAAGCAGGCACGCUAGUGUUUGUGGAGUCAACGUUGAAAUACCACCCUUUACUUACUUGGAGUCUAACUCCCGCAGGGAGGACAUUGUUUGAUGGGUAGUUUGACUGGGGUGGUCGCCUCCGAAAGGGUAUCGGAGGCUUUCAAAGGUUCCCUCAGUACGCUUGGUAACCGUACGUAGAGCGCAAUAGCAUAAGGGAGCUUGACUGUGAGGCCGACAAGCCGAGCAGGUACGAAAGUAGGAUAUAGUGAUCCGGUGGUUCCGCAUGGAAGGGCCAUCGCUCAUAGGAUAAAAGGUACGCUGGGAUAACAGGCUGAUCCUUCCCAAGAGCUCAUAUCGACGGGAGGGUUUGGCACCUCGAUGUCGGCUCGUCACAUCCUGGGGCUGGAGAAGGUCCCAAGGGUUCGGCUGUUCGCCGAUUAAAGUGGCACGCGAGCUGGGUUCAGAACGUCGUGAGACAGUUCGGUCCCUAU